AACAAACGCUGGCGGCGUGCCUAACACAUGCAAGUCGUACGAGAAAGUUGGCUUCGGCCGAUGAGUAAAGUGGCGCACGGGUGAGUAACGCGUGGAUAAUCUACCCUUUAGUCUGGAAUAACUUACCGAAAGGUGAACUAAUACCGGAUAAUAUCCCGAUUUCCUCGGAGAACGGGAUCAAAGAAGGCCUCUGCUUGCAAGCUUUUGCUGAAGGAUGAGUCCGCGUACCAUUAGCUAGUUGGUAGGGUAACGGCCUACCAAGGUUAUGAUGGUUAGCUGGUCUGAGAGGAUGAUCAGCCACACUGGAACUGAGACACGGUCCAGACUCCUACGGGUGGCAG
RNAcentral lists this ribosomal RNA (341 nucleotides) under uncultured Pseudomonadota bacterium. RNAcentral's name for it is "bacterial SSU rRNA". It matches the Rfam family "Bacterial small subunit ribosomal RNA", at positions 29 to 351 of the family's 1533-position model. The record is from RNAcentral. Lineage: Bacteria; Pseudomonadati; Pseudomonadota.